CGCACAUUGCGCCCGCCAGUAUUCUGGCGGGCAUGCCUGUUUGAGUGUCUUGAAAUCAUCAAACCGAACCGGUCUUUGUUGCCGGUGCGGUUUGGACUUGGGGGUUUCUAUUGCUGCCGCUCGCGGUGGCUCCCCUUAAAUAGAUCGGUCGGGCUUUCGUGCGGCUCUGUCCCUUGGCGUUGUAUUACCCUCGUCUUGGACGGCUCGCGAUUCAAUGGCCCUUCUCUGACUUGCCUCUGGAGUGGCGGUCUACAACUUUGUGAUCUGACCUCAAAUCAGGUAGGACUACCCGCUGAACUUAA
Molecule: unclassified non-coding RNA, 302 nt
Filed under: Hydnodontaceae sp.
Lineage: Eukaryota; Fungi; Basidiomycota; Agaricomycetes; Trechisporales; Hydnodontaceae
Description: partial contains 5.8S ribosomal RNA, internal transcribed spacer 2, and large subunit ribosomal RNA
Rfam family: 5.8S ribosomal RNA (bases 1-50)
Source: RNAcentral